This 302-nucleotide ribosomal RNA is filed under the name uncultured bacterium. RNAcentral describes it as "bacterial SSU rRNA". It matches the Rfam family "Bacterial small subunit ribosomal RNA", at positions 524 to 826 of the family's 1533-position model. The record is from RNAcentral.
UACGUAUGUCGCAAGCGUUAUCCGGAUUUAUUGGGCGUAAAGCGCGUCUAGGCGGUUUUGUAAGUCUGAUGUGAAAAUGCGGGGCUCAACUCCGUAUUGCGUUGGAAACUGCAGAACUAGAGUACUGGAGAGGUGGGCGGAACUACAAGUGUAGAGGUGAAAUUCGUAGAUAUUUGUAGGAAUGCCGAUGGAGAAGUCAGCUCACUGGACAGAUACUGACGCUGAAGCGCGAAAGCGUGGGGAGCAAACAGGAUUAGAUACCCUGGUAGUCCUGGUCAAGAAACCCGAGUAGUCCACAUCGG